RNAcentral lists this ribosomal RNA (497 nucleotides) under uncultured bacterium. RNAcentral's name for it is "partial 16S ribosomal RNA". It matches the Rfam family "Bacterial small subunit ribosomal RNA", at positions 28 to 507 of the family's 1533-position model. The record is from RNAcentral.
GAUGAACGCUGGCGGCGUGCCUAAUACAUGCAAGUCGAGCGAACAGACGAGGAGCUUGCUCCUCUGACGUUAGCGGCGGACGGGUGAGUAACACGUGGAUAACCUACCUAUACGACUGGGAUAACUUCGGGAAACCGGAGCUACUACCGGAUAAUAUAUUGAACCGCAUGGUUCAAUAGUGAAAGACGGUUUUGCUGUCACUUAUAGAUGGAUCCGCCCCUAAUUCGCUAGUUGGUAAGGUAACGGCUUACCAAGGCAACGAUGCGUAACCGACCCGAGAGGGUGAAUCGCCAGAUUGGCAGUGAGAAACAGUCCCGACCCUGAGGGGGGGAAGCCGGAGGGACUCCUCCGGAAGGGGGGAAAGGCUAACGGUGGAAAGCCGCGGGAGGGAUGAUGGUUCUCUGAUCGGUAAACUCUGUUAGUAGUGAAGAUCAAAAGUUUAAGUAACUGGGCACGUCUUGACAGUACCUAAACAAAAAGCCACGGCUAACUACGUG